AGAUGGAUGACAUUUACCAAAACAUCUCUCACUAUGCUGGUGUGGAGAUCAAGAAGCUUUCAAAUGGCAGUGUACUGGUGGACUAUGAUGUGAUCCUGUCAACAAGUUUCACCCCAGAUUACAAGACAGAAUUGCAAGCUAUCGCAAAGAAGGUAGAGGAAACAAUUAAAACAGUAACCAAAGAGCAAGCAGACACAGGAUGCACAAAAGAUUUAUGUUUGAACCCCAACAAGACAUCAGUGGAUGAGCCUACAUUUUCUUAUGACCCUCUG
Molecule: long non-coding RNA, 272 nt
Organism: Vombatus ursinus (common wombat)
Lineage: Eukaryota; Metazoa; Chordata; Mammalia; Diprotodontia; Vombatidae
Exons: 3
Source: RefSeq, a predicted model, not a curated record